RNAcentral lists this ribosomal RNA (449 nucleotides) under Pomacea insularum. RNAcentral describes it as "partial small subunit ribosomal RNA". It matches the Rfam family "Microsporidia small subunit ribosomal RNA", at positions 719 to 1311 of the family's 1311-position model. Lineage: Eukaryota; Metazoa; Mollusca; Gastropoda; Architaenioglossa; Ampullariidae. The record is from RNAcentral.
UCUGGAUUAUAAACUUAUUUACCUGAGCACUAUGAAUAGAAGAUUCUGUGUUAAUUUAAAACUCAAAAGGCUUGGCGGUGUUUUAGACUUUUCAGGGGAACCUGUCUCUUAAUCGAUAGUCCACGAUAGACCUAACUUUAUUUUAGGGUAUGUAUACCGUCGUCAACAGGUGACUUUUAAAAAAAUAAAAGUUAGCAAGUAAAAAAAUUUAUUUUUUAUGUCAGAUCAAGGUGCAGCUUAUAAAAAAGUGAGGAUGGGUUACAAUUAAUAAAAUUUUAAUUACGAAGAUGUUGAUGAAAUUCAUAUUUGAAGGAGGACUUGAAAGUAAAAAUUUAAUUAUAUAGACGUUUUGAAUAUAGCUCUGAAACGUGCACACAUCGCCCGUCGCUCUCGUUGAAAAAUGAGAUAAGUCGUAACAUAGUAAUGGUAACGGAAGUUGUCGUUAGAUG